RNAcentral lists this ribosomal RNA (440 nucleotides) under uncultured bacterium. RNAcentral describes it as "partial 16S ribosomal RNA". It matches the Rfam family "Bacterial small subunit ribosomal RNA", at positions 338 to 795 of the family's 1533-position model. The record is from RNAcentral.
CCUACGGGUGGCAGCAGUGGGGAAUAUUGCACAAUGGGGGAAACCCUGAUGCAGCGACGCCGCGUGAAGGAAGAAGUAUCUCGGUAUGGAAACCUUCAUCAGUAGGGAAGAAAAUGACGGCACGUGACUAAGAAGCCCCGGCUAACUACGUGCCAGCAGCCGCGGUAAUACGGAGGGGGCAAGCGUUAUCCGGAUUUACUGGGUGUAAAGGGAGUGUAGGCGGUUUAGCAAGUCAGAAGUGAAAGCCCGGGGCUCAACUGCGGGACUGCUUUUGAAACUGUUGAACUAGAUUGCAGGAGAGGUAAGUGGAAUUCGUAGUGUAGCGGUGAAAUGCGUAGAUAUUAGGAAGAACACCAGUGGCGAAGGCAGCUUACUGGACUGUAAAUGACGCUGAGGCUCGAAAGCGUGGGGAGCAAACAGGAUUAGAUACCCGAGUAGUC